GCGAAAGUGGCGGAAUUGGUAGACGCGCCGGACUUAGGAUCCGGUGGUUUCCAACCAUGGGGGUUCGAGUCCCCCCUUUCGCACCA
RNAcentral lists this transfer RNA (86 nucleotides) under Acidobacteriota bacterium. Its description in RNAcentral is "Acidobacteria bacterium (groundwater metagenome) tRNA-Leu". It matches the Rfam family "tRNA". Rfam says of the family: Transfer RNA (tRNA) molecules are approximately 80 nucleotides in length. Their secondary structure includes four short double-helical elements and three loops (D, anti-codon, and T loops). Lineage: Bacteria; Pseudomonadati; Acidobacteriota. The record is from RNAcentral.